This 71-nucleotide transfer RNA is filed under the name Loxodonta africana (African savanna elephant). It matches the Rfam family "tRNA". From Rfam's summary of the family: Transfer RNA (tRNA) molecules are approximately 80 nucleotides in length. The record is from Rfam by way of RNAcentral. Lineage: Eukaryota; Metazoa; Chordata; Mammalia; Proboscidea; Elephantidae.
GCAUUGGUGGUUCAGUGGUAGAAUUCUCACCUUCCACGUGGGAGACUCAGGUUCGAUUACUAGCUGAUGCA